AAAAAAUGAGUGAAAUGAGAAAGAACAAGCUAUGUUAGCAUGCUGUUAAUGCAAACUCGCCAUCUUGGAGGAAAGCUUUCCAGGAAUGGACUGUGUGGGACUUUCCUUACAAAAGAAGCCAAUGAGAUUCUUAAAUUAUAGUCACUGCCAGUAGCAUGGUAUAGGUCAGUUAGAUAUUAACUAGGGUUUAGAAGCUGGAUGAAAACUAUAUUUAGUGAUUUUUACAUUUAACUUUCUUUAAGUCAUUCAGUCUUAUAAAGUUAACUGGUUAGGUUGCAGGCACUUAUUGCAGUUUGGGGGAAUAUCAAAGGCCCAACACACAGAGUCAAGUUACGCAAUGCCUCUUCCCAUGCUGCUGCUUGGAUAAUAAGAAAGUUGCUAACGGGGUCACCUAACACUGACAUGUCAAACAGAGAGGACACAAUACGUUUUCACUAAAUGAUGGUUCCUUUAAUAUAGCUUGAUAAUGGAAAAAUUGAGAAUCCCAAAAUAUAUUCAAAUACAGUUUAAGU
Molecule: long non-coding RNA, 512 nt
Organism: Etheostoma spectabile (orangethroat darter)
Lineage: Eukaryota; Metazoa; Chordata; Actinopteri; Perciformes; Percidae
Exons: 2
Source: RefSeq, a predicted model, not a curated record